GGUCUAUGAUGACUGGUAAAAGGUCUGAUGGCACUAUACUCCUUCCUGUCACCCAAAUCUCCCAGCAGCAUCUAGGUUUUUGCAUUAUGCUCAGGUUGUGUCAUAUUGUGUUCUGGACGCUGCUGACAUUACUGGAUUAUCUGCAGUUCUGUGUAUUCCAGAGAUAAAGGAUACAUGGAUGCAAAAGGCAUCCCACAUAUAGGCCUCAGAGGAGACCCGCGUGCAGGACUGGAUGCAGUACAUGAUCUUAAGUUUUCAAGCUGAGACC
RNAcentral lists this small nucleolar RNA (268 nucleotides) under Leptobrachium leishanense (Leishan spiny toad). RNAcentral describes it as "Small Cajal body specific RNA 6 (ENSLLEG00000006949.1)". It matches the Rfam family "Small Cajal body specific RNA 6". From Rfam's summary of the family: U88 is small Cajal body specific RNA (scaRNA). scaRNAs are a novel class of small nuclear RNAs which localise to the Cajal bodies. U88 is found associated with both fibrillarin and Gar1p and co-localises with coilin in Cajal bodies. Lineage: Eukaryota; Metazoa; Chordata; Amphibia; Anura; Megophryidae. The record is from Rfam by way of RNAcentral.